GACGAACUUUGGCGGCGUGCUUAACACAUGCAAGUCGAACGGAAAGGCCCUGCUUUUGUGGGGUGCUCGAGUGGCGAACGGGUGAGUAACACGUGAGUAACCUGCCCUUGACUUUGGGAUAACUUCAGGAAACUGGGGCUAAUACCGGAUAGGAGCUCCUGCUGCAUGGUGGGGGUUGGAAAGUUUCGGCGGUUGGGGAUGGACUCGCGGCUUAUCAGCUUGUUGGUGGGGUAGUGGCUUACCAAGGCUUUGACGGGUAGCCGGCCUGAGAGGGUGACCGGCCACAUUGGGACUGAGAUACGGCCCAGACUCCUACGGGAGGCAGCAGUGGGGAAUAUUGCACAAUGGGCGGAAGCCUGAUGCAGCAACGCCGCGUGCGGGAUGACGGCCUUCGGGUUGUAAACCGCUUUCGCCUGUGACGAAGCGUGAGUGACGGUAAUGGGUAAAGAAGCACCGGCUAACUACGUGCCAGCAGCCGCGGUGAUACGUAGGGUGCGAGCGUUGUCCGGAUUUAUUGGGCGUAAAGGGCUCGUAGGUGGUUGAUCGCGUCGGAAGUGUAAUCUUGGGGCUUAACCCUGAGCGUGCUUUCGAUACGGGUUGACUUGAGGAAGGUAGGGGAGAAUGGAAUUCCUGGUGGAGCGGUGGAAUGCGCAGAUAUCAGGAGGAACACCAGUGGCGAAGGCGGUUCUCUGGGCCUUUCCUGACGCUGAGGAGCGAAAGCGUGGGGAGCGAACAGGCUUAGAUACCCUGGUAGUCCACGCUGUAAACGGUGGGUACUAGGUGUGGGGUCCAUUCCACGGGUCCCGCGCCGUAGCUAACGCUUUAAGUACCCCGCCUGGGGAGUACGGCCGCAAGGCUAAAACUCAAAGGAAUUGACGGGGCCCCGCACAAGCGGCGGAGCAUGCGGAUUAAUUCGAUGCAACGCGUAGAACCUUACCUGGGUUUGACAUGGAUCGGGAGUGCUCAGAGAUGGGUGUGCCUCUUUUGGGGUCGGUUCACAGGUGGUGCAUGGCUGUCGUCAGCUCGUGUCGUGAGAUGUUGGGUUAAGUCCCGCAACGAGCGCAACCCUUGUUCACUGUUGCCAGCACGUUAUGGUGGGGACUCAGUGGAGACCGCCGGGGUCAACUCGGAGGAAGGUGGGGAUGACGUCAAGUCAUCAUGCCCCUUAUGUCCAGGGCUUCACGCAUGCUACAAUGGCUGGUACAGAGAGUGGCGAGCCUGUGAGGGUGAGCGAAUCUCGGAAAGCCGGUCUCAGUUCGGAUUGGGGUCUGCAACUCGACCUCAUGAAGUCGGAGUCGCUAGUAAUCGCAGAACAGCAACGCUGCGGUGAAUACGUUCCCGGGGCU
RNAcentral lists this ribosomal RNA (1346 nucleotides) under uncultured bacterium. Its description in RNAcentral is "partial 16S ribosomal RNA". It matches the Rfam family "Bacterial small subunit ribosomal RNA", at positions 28 to 1381 of the family's 1533-position model. The record is from RNAcentral.